Molecule: long non-coding RNA, 2850 nt
Organism: Triticum aestivum (bread wheat)
Lineage: Eukaryota; Viridiplantae; Streptophyta; Magnoliopsida; Poales; Poaceae
Exons: 12
Source: RefSeq, a predicted model, not a curated record
UCCUCCCUCCCGAACUCGCGCCUCCCCCGCGCCCAGCUCCUCCCGCCUCGCCGCCUCCUCCUCUCCCCUCCCGCGCGCCUCUCUCCUCCCACCCACAUCACCGCCGCCGCCACCCACCGCCUCGAACCGCGCCGUCGGCGGCCAGAUCCGCCGCAACAGAGCCCCCACACCCUCCCCAACUAUGAUGAGAAGCAGCGGAGGGAGGACGGGGAGCACGACAGCAGGCGGCGGAGGGGAGCAGCAGCAGCAGGCCUCGCCGGGGCGCCCCUCGCCUCUUUGUCGCCCGCAGGGGGCGCCUGGUUCAGGGCCGCCCUCGCCUGCUGCAGCUACGUCCUGCUGGCGCUCCUCGCCCUCGCGCUCCUCCUCCUUCUCUCCGUUGGGUACCUCGGCCAGAAAAGGAGGGCACCAUUCACCAUGGAGGACUGCCGCGUCCAGUCUCCCUCACUCCCUCACUUCCUCCCUCCCGCCUCAAUACCUUAGCACCCAUGACCAUGGUGACUCCACUGGAGGUGCAGCAAGCAGGUGCUGCUGUGUGAAGGACAGGAGAAGAGGGUAGAGGAGAGGACUGCUACUGUCUCACCUGCUUCUCCGUCUUCUUCUUCUACUAUGUCCUAUGUUGGUCAGACCAGGAGGCGUUGCCAUCGAUUAUAGGGUGUCGGACCAACGUCCUCGUGUUCGUGCAUCUUCGGGAAGAAAUGACCCGAGGUGAGUCGCCUCUGGUCCGCCGCACGAAGAGAGCGGGGGGCUAGAUCGCAAGGGCAGAGUUGCAGUCCUCCAGGGCCGCGGGAAGAAGAAGAUGGUACUCAUAUACAAGCCUCCCUCUCGUGGUGAACACUCUUCCCUGGAAUUGAUGGAAGAUCUGCCUUGCAGCCUUAGAGGAUCCAUGCAUCGUGUGAUGUAUGGCCUACAGGCUACCAAUGCAACUGAUGUAGUCCUGCACAACACAAAUAAUUUAGUGGUGCUUGGAUCUAGGAGUGAACUGGGUCAGGGUUCUGUACUAUAGGAGGAAACAAGAUGGGGCAUGUGUUUUUCAAGGAUAAAUAUUGGAACUGAUGCCUCGCGUUGAUCUCUCUGAUCUGGUCGGCCUGGCGCGGGAACUGAGCCGCCGUCGAUGGAUUUAUCGCAGCUUGGCUACCUGUUGCUUUGGAUCCGGAUACCCAGCAUGUGUUUAGGAUCCCACACAGGGCGGUUCUUGACAUGCUUCGAGCACACCUUGGGCUAUCACCAGCUCACAUGCAUGAGGGAGGGUCGAUUUGAUUGACUAAAUCUGUAGCCAGCCAGAACCAAGGUUCAGGUCAUUCUUGUGAGAGAACCACUCGAGGGUAUGUUGUCGCGGUUGCCGAACACCAUGGACCACGGAUGCCCCUGCAAAGAAGAAGGGGGGACCUAGCGCCAAGAAGGUUGAAUACGACCGCGGGGGGGAUACGACUGCACCCUGCAGGGGUGCGGGGUGCGGCAAGCCGCACUUUCCAUCUAGUAGGAGAAAAAGGAGAACAUUGCGUUUGAACCCAGGACCUCCUGAUGGGUUGACACUGGGGUCAACCAGUUGAGCUAGGAUGCACGUGUGAUAUUGGAUGGGUUCGACCCUAUAUGACACAUCCUCUUGAACUGAUCUGAACUGAAGAAGCACGAACAGAUAUGGCUUCUCUGCUCGCUGUCUCAUACUGUAUUACAGUUGCUUCAUGCAAUUCCUUGCAGCCUUAUGUUUUAUGCUCUUGGUCCUUGCAGGAUACCCAGCAUGUGUUUAGGAUCCCACACAGGGCGGAUCUUGACAUGCUUCGAGCACACCUUGGGCUAUCACCAGCUCACAUGCAUGAGGGAGGGUCGAUUUGAUUGACUAAAUCUGUAGCCAGCCAGAACCAAGGUUCAGGUCAUUCUUGUACGAACAUCUACGCUGCCAUCCCAGUAAAAUCAAUCAAGCAGCUUGCUUAGCUUUGCACUUCUACAUACGUGUGUUUCUCUCGGGUGGAUCCAAGCUAACUAUUUCAAAUAAAACAACUAUGCGGUUGAGCUCGGCAAUCACCCACUCAAUGAGAAGCUGCACACUGAAUUCAAAGGGAAUUGGACUGUUUGUUUGACCUGAACUUAAAGUUGACACAAUUGCAGGUGAGAGAACCACUCGAGGGUAUGUUGUCGCGGUUGCCGAACACCAUGGACCACGGAUGCCCCUGCAAAGAAGAAGGGGGGACCUAGCGCCAAGAAGUAAUACAAAUUUGAGUCAUCAUGGGGAGAAGAUUGAUUACGAGGAUAUCAUGGAAGAUUUCACUUCAAAGAAUACUAAAAGAAUGAUGUUCAAAUAAAUAUUAUGCAUCGGAAGUUGAAUAGUGAGCUAGAGCCCCACUUUUUAAUUUCGCACAGGGCCCGGGUUUUGCCGGCCCGGCCCUGCUCAGGCAUGAGCAGCAGCUCGACUUGGUGUGGUGAGGUACGGCGAGCAAGAAGCUGAGCAGGCCCUGCUGCUUGCGCGCGAGCUACAGGAGGCAAUGCGUGUGUGGGAAACCGGCAAGGGCGCGAGCAUGGCGCGGUGUCCGUGGACGCAGCUAUGGACAGAGAGCGAGGUGCUCUGUUUCAUGCGUAUGGCGAGGGUACAGCGACAGGUCUCUGACAUGAACAUAUCGAGGCUGAACGGAAGCAAACGACGUCGAGGGAGAGCCAGGAGGGGAGGCUGCUCAUCGGGAUCCCGUAGGACGAGACGACGAGGUCGGAAGCGCGACGGCAGGGGCGCGAGGAGGCGCUGAUCAUGGCGGCGUUCGGCUCCGUGAAUAAGAUGAAGCAGAGGACGUAGAUGACGACCGGGAAGAAGUUGGACUUGGCGAUCCGGGGCUCGGAGAGGUGUGGGAAGGUGUUGCCGAA